This is a transfer RNA of Aerococcus urinae, 73 nucleotides long. It matches the Rfam family "tRNA". Rfam says of the family: Transfer RNA (tRNA) molecules are approximately 80 nucleotides in length. NCBI's taxonomy places the organism in Bacteria, Bacillati, Bacillota, Bacilli, Lactobacillales, Aerococcaceae. The record is from Rfam.
GGAGAAUUAGCUCAGCUGGGAGAGCGUCUGCCUUACAAGCAGAAUGUCGGGGGUUCGAGCCCCUCAUUCUCCA